UUUCCGCCCUCGCUCAGGCAGCACAUAUACUAAAAGUACUAAAAGUUGGAAUGAUACAAGGAAGAUUAGCAUGGCCCCUACACAAAGAUGACAUAAAAAUUCAUGAAGAGUUCCAUUAAAAA
RNAcentral lists this small nuclear RNA (122 nucleotides) under Castor canadensis (American beaver). The record is from RNAcentral. Lineage: Eukaryota; Metazoa; Chordata; Mammalia; Rodentia; Castoridae.